CCUACGGGUGGCUGCAGUGGGGAAUAUUGGGGGGGGGGGGGGGGGGGGGUGGGGUAAUGGAGUGUGUGUGUAGAAGGCCCUCGGGUUGUAAAGCACUUUCAGUGAGGAAGAACGCCUGGUGGUUAAUACCCAUCAGGAAAGACAUCACUCACAGAAGAAGCACCGGCUAACUCCGUGCCAGCAGCCGCGGUAAUACGGAGGGUGCGAGCGUUAAUCGGAAUUACUGGGCGUAAAGCGCGCGUAGGUGGCUUGAUAAGCCGGUUGUGAAAGCCCCGGGCUCAACCUGGGAACGGCAUCCGGAACUGUAAAGCUAGAGUGCAGGAGAGGAAGGUAGAAUUCCCGGUGUAGCGGUGAAAUGCGUAGAGAUAGGGAGGAAUACCAGUGGCGAAGGCGGCCUUCUGGCCUGAAACUGACACUGAGGUGCGAAAGCGUGGGUAGCAAACAGGAUUAGAUACCCCAGUAGUC
RNAcentral lists this ribosomal RNA (465 nucleotides) under Vreelandella stevensii. Its description in RNAcentral is "partial 16S ribosomal RNA". It matches the Rfam family "Bacterial small subunit ribosomal RNA", at positions 338 to 795 of the family's 1533-position model. The record is from RNAcentral. Lineage: Bacteria; Pseudomonadati; Pseudomonadota; Gammaproteobacteria; Oceanospirillales; Halomonadaceae.